RNAcentral lists this ribosomal RNA (332 nucleotides) under Shigella sp. FC1967. RNAcentral describes it as "bacterial LSU rRNA". It matches the Rfam family "Bacterial large subunit ribosomal RNA", at positions 2511 to 2835 of the family's 2925-position model. Lineage: Bacteria; Pseudomonadati; Pseudomonadota; Gammaproteobacteria; Enterobacterales; Enterobacteriaceae. The record is from RNAcentral.
GCGGUGUUUGGCACCUCGAUGUCGGCUCAUCACAUCCUGGGGCUGAAGUAGGUCCCAAGGGUAUGGCUGUUCGCCAUUUAAAGUGGUACGCGAGCUGGGGUUUAGAACGUCGUGAGACAGUUCGGUCCCUAUCUGCCGUGGGGCGUUGGAAGAUUGAGAGGGGGUUGCUCCUAGUACGAGAGGACCGGAGUGAACGCACCACUGGUGUUCGGGUUGUCAUGCCAAUGGCAUUGCCCGGUAGCUAAGUGCGGAAGAGAUAACCGCUGAAAGCAUCUAAGCGGGAAACUUGCCUCGAGAUGAGUCUUCCCUGUCACCUUGAGUGACCUAAAGGA